GCUUCUAUAGCUCAGUCAGAAGAGCGCUGUCCUGUCACGGCAGAGGUCGCGGGUGCAAGUCCCGUUAGAGGCG
This 73-nucleotide transfer RNA is filed under the name Planctomycetota bacterium. RNAcentral's name for it is "Planctomycetes bacterium (subsurface metagenome) tRNA-Asp". It matches the Rfam family "tRNA". From Rfam's summary of the family: Transfer RNA (tRNA) molecules are approximately 80 nucleotides in length. Their secondary structure includes four short double-helical elements and three loops (D, anti-codon, and T loops). The record is from RNAcentral. Lineage: Bacteria; Pseudomonadati; Planctomycetota.